Molecule: long non-coding RNA, 636 nt
Filed under: Hordeum vulgare
Lineage: Eukaryota; Viridiplantae; Streptophyta; Magnoliopsida; Poales; Poaceae
Description: long non-coding RNA (HVUL_LNC017931)
Source: RNAcentral
UUUACUGGUCUCCUUGGGACCGGAGAAGCAGAAUGUUACUUUGUAGAAUCAUUGUUCAGCCUCUUUGUUUAUAUAUGCGGAGUUCUUAUUCAUUUGAUUUUAUCCUCCUGGUAGGCUCUUGUAGCUUAAACUAUGAACAUUUCUGUCACAUACCGUCUCUUUAAAUCUGAAUCUUGAUUGCUUCUAUUUCACAUGUGAGUAUACUGUACAUAAAGAAAAUCCUAGCUAGUUUGAGAACAUUUUAGUCGCAUAAACACAUACUAAUUAAUUUAGUCAUACUAUUUAUGUACAUUUCAUUUGCUGACAAUUCUUGCUUCUAAGUUAUUGGAUCCGUCAUUGACCAUUGUUUGAUGUUCUCGACACAUUCUUAUUCUUAUAUGUUCAUUCUUAUUUUUUGCACAGGUGAAGUGUGAAUCCAAGUCUGAAGCUGUGAAGCAUAUCAGCAAAGAGUAGCAUAUUAUGUAUUGUAAUUGUAGGCAGUAGUAGGCUUAUUUGGGUUGUAGUAUAAUGUAACGAUUGUAAUAGACUAAUGUAGUGUUGUUUUAGACGAAUUCCAUUUGCUCUUUGGAUUCUUCAAAAUAAUGAUUUUGUAUGUGACUUGAAUACCCCGGAAAUGGUAACCUGGCAAAGGGGUUC